CUUUACCUUGCUUCCAUUUUCUCUACUCAAACCUUUCUUCUUGGAGCCAUACUUUUUUCUUUUCAUGAAUCUUUUAAAUCUUUUUGUAAUCAUGACCACUUAAUUAUCAUUUUUAGAUUUUUCCAAUAUGUCACUCUCUACAUCUUUAUUGGCCAUUGACUUCAAUGCAAUUGUUCUCCUUUUUUUUGUUUCUUCUUCCACAUUCUGAUUCAUUCUUGACUCAUGAGUCAUAAGUGAGCCGAUAAGUUCUUCCAAAAAUAAUCUGUGGAGAUCUCUAGCUUCUUAGAUUGUAGUCACCUUUGCUGCCUAAUUCUUUGAUAAUGAUCUGAGAAUUUUUUAAACAAGCUCGCUAUUAAUGUAGUCCUUGCCAAGACUUUUUAAAUUAUUUAUAAUAUUAAUAAAUCUAGUAAAUAUAUCAGUAAUACUUUUACUAUAUUCUAUUUUAAA
This 447-nucleotide long non-coding RNA is filed under the name Elaeis guineensis (African oil palm). RNAcentral's name for it is "long non-coding RNA (EGUI_LNC048393)". Lineage: Eukaryota; Viridiplantae; Streptophyta; Magnoliopsida; Arecales; Arecaceae. The record is from RNAcentral.